This 304-nucleotide ribosomal RNA is filed under the name uncultured Pseudomonas sp. Its description in RNAcentral is "bacterial SSU rRNA". It matches the Rfam family "Bacterial small subunit ribosomal RNA", at positions 1075 to 1382 of the family's 1533-position model. The record is from RNAcentral. Lineage: Bacteria; Pseudomonadati; Pseudomonadota; Gammaproteobacteria; Pseudomonadales; Pseudomonadaceae.
UUGGGUUAAGUCCGUAACGAGCGCAACCCUUGUCCUUAGUUACCAGCACGUUAUGUGGGCACUCUAAGGAGACUGCCGGUGACAACCGAGGAAGGUGGGGAUGACGUCAAGUCAUCAUGGCCCUUACGGCCUGGGCUACACACGUGCUACAAUGGUCGGUACAAAGGGUUGCCAAGCCGCGAGGUGGAGCUAAUCCCAUAAAACCGAUCGUAGUCCGGAUCGCAGUCUGCAACUCGACUGCGUGAAGUCGGAAUCGCUAGUAAUCGUGAAUCAGAAUGUCACGGUGAAUACGUUCCCGGGCCUU